Non-coding RNA from Aphanomyces astaci, 73 nucleotides. NCBI's taxonomy places the organism in Eukaryota, Oomycota, Saprolegniomycetes, Saprolegniales, Verrucalvaceae. The record is from the annotation of a RefSeq genome assembly.
GGCGCUGUGGCGCAGUGGUUAGAGUGUCAGAUUGCAAAGCGUGAGACUCGGGCUUCGAAUCCCCACCUGGUUG